AAAGUAGCUUCCUUGCAUCAUGAGACUUAAGUUCAGCGAUUCACCAUUGAAAUGUUACAUUCUGCGUUCAAUCAGUUACUUACGUUAUCCAAGCCGAAACUCUGCAGGUCAUGAACUGGGGGAAGAAGAAAAAAAAUCGCAUAUCAAAAUGAAUGACUUGGGACCCUAUUUUGAAGAGUUCAACCAGUGGACAACUUGGAAUCUGUGUGAUGACUUAGCGGUGGGGUGCACAUGCGGUGGGGAUGCAAGCUUCUCUUUUCUUGCAGUGGCCCAGCAAGAGGAAAAAUGGUUGGAGAGGCCACUAGCUAGCAUCAUAAUAGGAUUUCACAGACAGACUUGCCAUUGCAAAAUCUCCAACUUCACAAAGACAUUUGCACUGCUGUUGCUCUCGUGCGCUUUCAUUAGUCUUACAUUUUUGACUUGCAUUUCAGUUCAGCAUUCACAUGCAAUGUCUAAUUAGAAUCCAUGUUAUAGUUCUCAUGAAAAGUGUCCAAAUUUAGAUAUUUAUAAAUUGAACAGAAAA
Syngnathus acus (greater pipefish) is the source of this 523-nucleotide long non-coding RNA. RefSeq lists it as uncharacterized. The transcript is spliced from 2 exons. NCBI's taxonomy places the organism in Eukaryota, Metazoa, Chordata, Actinopteri, Syngnathiformes, Syngnathidae. The record is from RefSeq and is a predicted model, not a curated record.